AAUUUCUGACUUGAAAUAGGAAAUCGGCCACGGUUUCGUGUGUUAGUAUUUUCUAUUCUGGUCAUCCUUCCAAUUUUCACUAGUUACUAUUCUUCAUUGAAUCGGUAUAUUAGUAUUGGAUCUUUUACUUUGAAAAAAUUAGAGUGUUUAAAGCAGGCAUAUUGCUAUGAAUACAUUAGCAUGGAAUAAUAAUUUAGGACUUCGGUUCUAUUUUGUUGGUUUCUAGGACUGAAGUAAUGAUUGAUAGGGAUAGUUGGGGGUGCUAGUAUUCAGUGGCCAGAGGUGAAAUUCUCGGAUUCACUGAAGACUAACUUAUGCGAAAGCAUU
RNAcentral lists this ribosomal RNA (327 nucleotides) under uncultured Sandonidae. Its description in RNAcentral is "SSU rRNA". It matches the Rfam family "Eukaryotic small subunit ribosomal RNA", at positions 633 to 955 of the family's 1831-position model. The record is from RNAcentral. Lineage: Eukaryota; Cercozoa; Glissomonadida; Viridiraptoridae.